GGAAAGAUGAAAAGAACUUUGAAAAGAGAGUUAAACAGUACGUGAAAUUGUUGAAAGGGAAACGAUUGAAGUCAGUCAUACCAACGGGAAAUCAACCUUUUGAGUUUGGUCUUGUGGGUUUCGGAGAGUUUAAAAGCCUUCGGAUUCGUUAGGAUUGGGCUCUUUUGGUGUACUUUCUCGUACGGUUAGUCAUCAUCGGUUUUGAAUGUCAUAAAAUGACUGGAGGAAUGUGGCUUCGAUCUCGUAUCGAAGUGUUAUAGCCUUUGGUAGACGUGAUGUUCGAGUCCGAGGAUUGCAACGGAUACCCUUCUGGGCUAUUCGUCUGAUCUCUGAUACGUUGCCUUGAUGUCGAAAGCUUGCUUAUGAUGUUAGGGUAUUACGGUCAAAAGGUUAGAACGGAUUAAAUUCGUUAAGGAUGUUGACGUAAUGACUUUAAACGACCCGUCUUGAAACACGGACCA
Molecule: ribosomal RNA, 461 nt
Filed under: Septoglomus constrictum
Lineage: Eukaryota; Fungi; Glomeromycota; Glomeromycetes; Glomerales; Glomeraceae
Description: LSU rRNA
Rfam family: Eukaryotic large subunit ribosomal RNA
Source: RNAcentral